Molecule: ribosomal RNA, 253 nt
Filed under: uncultured bacterium
Lineage: Bacteria
Description: partial 16S ribosomal RNA
Rfam family: Bacterial small subunit ribosomal RNA
Source: RNAcentral
UACGUAGGGUGCGAGCGUUAAUCGGAAUUACUGGGCGUAAAGCGUGCGCAGGCGGUUUUGUAAGCCAGAUGUGAAAUCCCCGGGCUUAACCUGGGAAUGGCAUUUGGGACUGCAAGGCUCGAGUGCGGCAGAGGAGACUGGAAUUCCUGGUGUAGCAGUGAAAUGCGUAGAUAUGCGGAGGAACACCGAUGGCGAAGGCAAUCCCCUGGGCCUGCACUGACGCUCAUGCACGAAAGCGUGGGGAGCAAACAGA